RNAcentral lists this unclassified non-coding RNA (235 nucleotides) under fungal sp. RNAcentral's name for it is "partial internal transcribed spacer region". The stretch from base 1 to 46 matches the Rfam family "Eukaryotic small subunit ribosomal RNA", at positions 1786 to 1831 of the family's 1831-position model. RNAcentral also lists the same sequence under 1 other name. Lineage: Eukaryota; Fungi. The record is from RNAcentral.
AAGUCGUAACAAGGUCUCCGUUGGUGAACCAGCGGAGGGAUCAUUACAGGACGUCGAAAGACAUCCCAUUCAACCCAUUGUGAACUUUACCAUCUUGUUGCCUCGGCAGGCGAUCUCAGGGGAGGUCUUUAACCAAGUUUUUGGUGCCUGUCAGUGGCCUUUAAAUUCUCGUCAAACAAAUUAUCUGAACUAGCGCAAACUAUCAAAACUUUCAGCAACGGAUCUCUUGGCUCUA